This 75-nucleotide transfer RNA is filed under the name Brooklawnia propionicigenes. RNAcentral's name for it is "tRNA-Arg". It matches the Rfam family "tRNA". Rfam says of the family: Transfer RNA (tRNA) molecules are approximately 80 nucleotides in length. Their secondary structure includes four short double-helical elements and three loops (D, anti-codon, and T loops). Lineage: Bacteria; Bacillati; Actinomycetota; Actinomycetes; Propionibacteriales; Propionibacteriaceae. The record is from RNAcentral. RNAcentral also lists the same sequence under 1 other name.
GCCUCCGUAGCUCAGUGGAUAGAGCAUCCGCCUUCUAAGCGGCUGGCCGCGGGUUCGAUCCCCGCCGGGGGCGCC